Molecule: transfer RNA, 75 nt
Filed under: Fervidicoccus fontis
Lineage: Archaea; Thermoproteati; Thermoproteota; Thermoprotei; Fervidicoccales; Fervidicoccaceae
Description: tRNA-Arg
Rfam family: tRNA
About the family: Transfer RNA (tRNA) molecules are approximately 80 nucleotides in length. Their secondary structure includes four short double-helical elements and three loops (D, anti-codon, and T loops).
Source: RNAcentral
GGGCCCGUAGCCUAGCCAGGAUAGGGCGCCGGCCUUCUAAGCCGGUGGUCCUGGGUUCAAAUCCCCGCGGGCCCG